Molecule: long non-coding RNA, 284 nt
Filed under: Solanum tuberosum (potato)
Lineage: Eukaryota; Viridiplantae; Streptophyta; Magnoliopsida; Solanales; Solanaceae
Description: long non-coding RNA (STUB_LNC003019)
Source: RNAcentral
GGUCGUCUUCACUCUUCUAUAUAAUUGAAAGAAAAAAAAAUUGUUGGUAAGGAUAUGAAGCGUUAAAAAAUUAUUUAAAGCAUGAAUGGAAAUUUCUAGAGAAACAUAGUUUGGCAGUUAUAUUUGAUAUUUUUGCCACGUGGAAAGAAUUUGGGGACAAGUACAAUUAUAACAAAAAUUAAAUUAAAAAAUAUUGUGUAAAUAACAAAUAUACCCUUAAAGAUCUUUCUAGAUCUAGUCCCAUUAGAUAUCCAUCUAUUCUGCUUCUUCAUCUUUCUUUUUCC